RNAcentral lists this ribosomal RNA (468 nucleotides) under uncultured bacterium. Its description in RNAcentral is "partial 16S ribosomal RNA". It matches the Rfam family "Bacterial small subunit ribosomal RNA", at positions 28 to 523 of the family's 1533-position model. The record is from RNAcentral.
GAUGAACGCUGGCGGCGUGCCUAACACAUGCAAGUCGAGCGAUUCUCUUCGGAGAAGAGCGGCGGACGGGUGAGUAACGCGUGGGUAACCUGCCCUGUACACACGGAUAACAUACCGAAAGGUAUGAUAAUACGAGAUAAUAUACUUUUAUCGCAUGGUAGAAGUAUCAAAGCUCCGGCGGUACAGGAUGGACACGCGUCUGAUUAGCUAGUUGGUAAGGUAACGGUUUACCAAGGCGACGAUCAGUAGCCGACCUGAGAGGGUGAUCGGCCACAUUGGAACUGGGACACGGUCCAAACUCCGACGGGAGGCAGCAGUGGGGAAUAUUGCACGAUGGGCGAAAGCCUGAUGCAGCAACGCCGCGUGAGCGAUGAAGGCCUUCGGGUCGUAAAGCUCUGUCCUCAAGGAAGAUAAUGACGGUACUUGAGGAGGAAGCCCCGGCUAACUACGUGCCAGCCGCCGCCGUAA